UGUAAUGUUCUCUUGGAACUUCUUUCCAUGGU
RNAcentral lists this non-coding RNA (32 nucleotides) under Mus musculus (house mouse). Lineage: Eukaryota; Metazoa; Chordata; Mammalia; Rodentia; Muridae. The record is from RNAcentral.